Molecule: long non-coding RNA, 833 nt
Organism: Rosa chinensis
Lineage: Eukaryota; Viridiplantae; Streptophyta; Magnoliopsida; Rosales; Rosaceae
Exons: 2
Source: RefSeq, a predicted model, not a curated record
GUUUGGCCAGGCAAAUAUGAUAAGAUCUCCAACGAACACGUUUCAGACUUUCAGUCAUCUACCAGUCCACUACCUAACAGUCCUCAUAUCUAGAAAUUUCUUAAUUCUUACAUUAUAAACUUAAGGUCCAUUAGUUGAGGCAUCGAGUCUUGAGUUCUGACCUAGCAAGCUGAGAUCAUUGAAAUUUUUUUGAUCCAUCGAUCACCAACCAAUCAAUCCCCUAUCACGAUAUUAUGGGAUUCCGUAGACAUCCACCGCCACCACCACCGCCAGACCCCUUUGCGCCACCACCACCGCCAGACCCCUUUGCACCACCACCACCCCCUCCUCCACAUCAUCAUCAUGGGCCGCCCCCUCCUCCACGUCCUGAGUUUUAUUAUUCACCACCACCACCACCACCCCCUCACCAUCACCAUCCACCUGGUCCUCCUCCUCCUCCGCGACCUUAUGCUCCAGGGCCUCCACCACCGGGUCCACCAGGACCUCCACCACCAUACUUCGACCCCUACAGACCACCUCCUCCUCAUCAUCCUCCACCUUACUAGUUAAUUAUCUCUUCUCCGGUCUCGAACUUUCCUUCUUUAUGAAGAUAUUAUGCAUCUGCUUGUUCGACUCACGUUGGGGAUCAUUGUAGAAGCAAGCCGGUGCGACUCCUACUCCUACAUUUCUGAUCAGGAUAAAGAGACGUCACCAUGUGCCUGUGUUAUAUCAUUUGUAACUUUGUAUGUGUAUUUUUUUUUUUCUUUUGCUCCCUUUGUUGUGUUUAAAUAGUAUAAUAAUAAUGAUAAAUAAACAUAAUUCCAUUAGCGAUGGUUCCCCCCACCGCCCUCUCA